GUAACACGUGGGUAACCUACCUUAAAGUGGGGGCUAUCAAUUGGAAACAGGUGCUAAUACCGCAUAACCAUCAAAACCGCCUGGUUUUGAUGUUAAAGAUGGUUCUGCUAUCCCUUUAAGAUGGACCCGCGGCGUAUUGGCUAGUUGGUGAGGUAACGGCUUACCAAGGCAAUGAUACGUAGCCGAACUGAGAGGUUGAUCGGCCACAUUGGGACUGAGACACGGCCCAAACUCCUACGGGAGGCAGCAGUAGGGAAUCUUCCACAAUGGACGAAAGUCUGAUGGAGCAACGCCGCGUGAGUGAAGAAGGUUUUCGGAUCGUAAAACUCUGUUGUCAGAGAAGAACGUGUGUGAGAGUAACUGUUCACGCAGUGACGGUAUCUGACCAGAAAGUCACGGCUAACUACGUGCCAGCAGCCGCGGUAAUACGUAGGUGACAAGCGUUGUCCGGAUUUAUUGGGCGUAAAGGGAACGCAGGCGGUCUUUUAAGUCUGAUGUGAAAGCCUUCGGCUUAACCGAAGUCGGGCAUUGGAAACUGGGAGACUUGAGUGCAGAAGAGGAGAGUGGAACUCCAUGUGUAGCGGUGAAAUGCGUAGAUAUAUGGAAGAACACCAGUGGCGAAAGCGGCUCUCUGGUCUGUAACUGACGCUGAGGUUCGAAAGCGUGGGUAGCAAACAGGAUUAGAUACCCUGGUAGUCCACGCCGUAAACGAUGAAUGCUAAGUGUUGGAGGGUUUCCGCCCUUC
This 745-nucleotide ribosomal RNA is filed under the name uncultured bacterium. Its description in RNAcentral is "bacterial SSU rRNA". It matches the Rfam family "Bacterial small subunit ribosomal RNA", at positions 110 to 841 of the family's 1533-position model. The record is from RNAcentral.